This is a long non-coding RNA of Hemiscyllium ocellatum (epaulette shark), 3209 nucleotides long. RefSeq lists it as uncharacterized. The record is from RefSeq and is a predicted model, not a curated record. NCBI's taxonomy places the organism in Eukaryota, Metazoa, Chordata, Chondrichthyes, Orectolobiformes, Hemiscylliidae. The transcript is spliced from 5 exons.
GACACAGAGUCGCUGUAAUGAAUGCUUGGGAAGAUAUGGAACGAAAGGAUCCCAGUGAUUAAUGCCAAAGCCCCAUUGCCUGGGGAGAAGGUGAUGUUUGACUUCCUUGUACAGCUGCAGUUUGUGUGGUGAAGGUGCUCCCACAAUGUGGUUGGGUGGACAUUCAGAUGGUAACCUCAGAAUUUGUAACACCAAACUCUGACAGAAUUACUCAAUUCAUCAGGACCUGCAUAUUUGCAUUUAGUUGAAUAUGACAGGCUCCAUUGGACAUCUGGUCAGAAAAGGUGACACUUGGUUGGUCGAUGUUUUUGGGAGGGUACUGAAAGGGUGGCUUUGUGGAUGAGAAAUUCAAAUUGAGCUUCAUGUUCAGACCUGAUGGUUACUGGAUCCGUGCCGAUCUGAAUAUCAUUGACCUUUUCAUCUGGACAAUAUUUCAAAUGUCAGUGCGUCUGGAAGAAUUACUGCGACACAGUCAAGUCCAUGUUAGCAAAGUUUGUAGCUUUGAAUGGAGGCUGUUUAUCAGGGUUAUCUCCAUGGCAACGGCAGUUUAAAAAGUCUAGUUCAAUUCAGCACAUUGUUUUCACAUCGCACCCCUCCCCCACACCCCCAUGGCUCACUUCAGUACCUGACAGGCGCUUCAGUUUCUGUGGGAUAGUCUGUCAGGAUUCUGAUGUGGAGGAGACGGUGUUGGAGUGGGGUGGACAAAGUUAUAAAUCUCACAACACCAGAUUAUAGUCCAACAGGUUUCUUUUUGGAAGCACUAGCUUUCCGAGCACGGCGUAACUUUUAACUUUAUCAGGUCUCACUCUAUGAUGACAGACUUCUUCAGUUAAGUACUUCAAUAAUUAGUGGGCGGCACGGUGGCACAGUUGUUAGCACUGCUGCUUCACAGCGCCAGAGAUCCGGGUUCAAUUCCCGUCUCUGGUGACUGUGUGUUAGGUGAAGGGGUAAAUUUAGUAGAAAGUUUCUUGGUGCGUUACGCUUCGGCGGGUCGGUGUGGACUUGUUGGGCCGAAGGGCCUGUUUCCACACUCUAAGUAAUCUAAUCUAAUUACAGAGGCCACAUAUUCCCCUCUAGCAGUAUCAACUGCUGUUCUGGCCCUCGGGUAAGCUACUCGUCACUUUUUAUCCCCAAUCCCAUCUAGUUUUCUGUUGAUCUUUAAAGUUUUUUCUAAUCUCCUAGUUUCUCGCUGAUCAUUGCCAAUUUGUAUGCCUUCUAUUACAAUUUGAUAUACUCCCUGAUUUCCUUAGCCACCCAUGGCAGAUUACUCCUUUUCCUACAAUCCUUCCUUUCACUGAUAUAUACUUUUGCUCAGCACUUUGAAAAAUUGCAUUGAUAUUUCUGCACUGGCCGUCAACUACCCCAUCGUAAAUUCUUUGCUUCCAGUUUACGUUAGCCAACUCCUGUCUCAUCCUAUUGUAGUCUCCUUUGCUUAAGCACAGGAUCUUGGGACUGGAUUUAAUCUUCCCGCUUUCCAUCUGUAUUCUAAAUUGAUCCAUACUUAUCACAAGUCCUUUAUCAGAUUAUAAGGUGAGGGGAUGUUUCCUGGGUGUUUUGGUUUUCAUUGUCAGUGACCUUAGCUUUGUAAUGAAGUACAGGAUAGAUAUUCACAACAGAGUAUUCUGGACGGUGUAAAUGUCCUCACAGUCUAAAACCAUAAAUCACUGUCUCCCCUGAGUUUAAAAUUGCAAAAUCAUUAUCUCCUACAUGCUUCCUCACUAUCUAAGUUUGGACCACUAAUCCACCUGAUUAUCCUGCAUUUUCGAAAAAUCUCCUUGGGUGAAUGUGGUGAUUUUUGGAUUCAGCUUUCCAGUUAUUAUUGUAAGAAGAUGAGCACUGGGCACAUGGGGACUACAACGCCCACAAUCCCUGAGGCGGGGACCACAAGUGUGUGGGGAAGCCUGGCACUGUAAAUGUACAGAAUGUGGGCGGGUUUUGGAGCAUGGGCUUUGGGGUAACUAUCGGAAAGUAGUUCACACUGUGAUUGGCUGGAGGACGAACAUAUCGGUUUGGGGGCGGGGGGGUCAAAGUGUCACUGCACCCAUGUGGGGCCAAAGGCCAUCCCCAACUCGUCAUAACACUGGGAAUCGACCAAUGGGAAACAAAGAAGGAUCUGACCCAUUCUCCCAGACUGAAGGUUCCUCUUCUGUCCAGGAUCUGCCACCUCCCUUUCUGUUCCCUUUUGUGUCAUUCUGCUGUUACAUUGACUUGCAGCAACUGAAGGGAAAGGAAGUGAACCCAGAAAGGGUGCAGAGUCUAACCAGGGACGGGAAGUGGUGGCAUGGAUCUGUUUAUCAGCAACUCCAUGAGAAUGGGGAGGGUGUACAUUAGGGGGUAGCAGAGUCAGAAUGGUGGGAGAGAGUAAGUGGGCUGGAGGGUUACAGCUUUGGGGGAAGAAAGGGGUAAUAGAUAUUCCACAGAAACUAGAAUUGUCUGUUCUGAAUUUCUAAUCUAUACAUAUUCCUUUAUACAGGGGGCUAGAUGGUGAGGGUUUGCAAACUGAAAUCUCAAAAUUAAGUGCAGGUCGUGAUUAAGUUAACUAGCAUUUGAAGAACCAAAGAUAGAGAAUCACUCGGACAAAAUCCUGCAACACUCUCCCUCACAGUAUUGUCGGUAUAUCUGUGCCAAAUGGGCUGUGAAUGGUACAAGACAGCAGCUCUCUACCACCUUCUCAAGGAUAACUAGAGAUGGGGAAUAAAUGCUGGCUGAGCCAGUGAUGCCCAUAUCCUGGAAAUGGGUUCUAUCUCUAGUUGCUGAAAUCCUAUUGAUGUUACUGCAGGAUGAUGAGGGAUGCUGAGUGCAUCCUCCAGGAGGCAGCACCAUCACAUUACCCCUGCCUACAACCACACAGUAACACCGCAACGUCACUGGAACAAAAGGCAGUGAAGCCCAAGGAGGACUUAGAUAUAGUACUUCGAGGUAAAGUCAUGAAAGGGGAUUGGAACAUAGCAGGAACAGGAGACUGAGCUGGAUGGUCAGCUGUUACCCAUUGAAUGGUGGAGCAGGAUUGAAAGGCUGAAUGGUCUCCUCCUGCUGCUAUCUCCCAGGUAUGUAUAUAGUCAUGACGCCCGGGUAGGAAGGAGUGGGCAGGGAUUCUCCAGGAGAUUGCACUUCCACAACAGGUUUCAGUGAGGGAUGGUUUGAUAGAGUUUAUUUUACUAUUUUACAUUUUAAAAUAAAAACACAUUUGCAAACCUUGUAUUAAAGUU